UCGAUAAAGCCAAACUUCGAGUAAUCGGAGGGCGGAAAACCACGGGUCCUGAGUUUAAGGGAUAGCCAGGUUGCCGAA
This 78-nucleotide non-coding RNA is filed under the name marine sediment metagenome. Its description in RNAcentral is "c-di-GMP-I riboswitch aptamer". It matches the Rfam family "c-di-GMP-I riboswitch aptamer". Rfam says of the family: GEMM was predicted in a large-scale screen for bacterial structured RNA regulatory elements. Genes associated with GEMM are involved in a diverse array of functions, including chemotaxis regulation, signal transduction, secretion and chitin. The record is from RNAcentral.